UAAUAAUGCAAGUCGAGCGGACUGGAGAGAGCUUGCUCUCAAAGGUCAGCGGCGGACGGGUGAGUAACACGUGGGUAACCUGCCUGGCAGACUGGGAUAACGCUUGGAAACGAGUGCUAAUACCAGAUAGUCUUUUGAACUGCAUGGUUCGAAAGGGAAAGAAGCGAUCGCUUCACUGUCAGAUGGACCCGCGGCGCAUUAGCUAGUUGGUGAGGUAACGGCUCACCAAGGCAACGAUGCAUAGCCGACCUGAGAGGGUGAUCGGACACACUGGGACUGAG
Molecule: ribosomal RNA, 281 nt
Filed under: uncultured Bacillus sp.
Lineage: Bacteria; Bacillati; Bacillota; Bacilli; Caryophanales; Bacillaceae
Description: partial 16S ribosomal RNA
Rfam family: Bacterial small subunit ribosomal RNA
Source: RNAcentral